GCUGGGCUUGGUGGCACACGCCUGUAAUCCCAGCAGCUUGGGAGGCUGAGGCAGGAGCCAGCCUCAGCAACUGUGAGGUGCUAAGCAACUCAGUGAGACCCUGUCUCUA
This 109-nucleotide small RNA is filed under the name Marmota monax (woodchuck). The record is from RNAcentral. Lineage: Eukaryota; Metazoa; Chordata; Mammalia; Rodentia; Sciuridae.